UUCACAGAUAUGAAGGGCCGGUUGUAUUGUGGAUUAUGUUACCUCCAGCAUGAGAAAAGGAGAAUGCUUCAGAGUCCAGGGAGGACUUAAAUGGCAGAAGCACUUAGAUUUGUUCCACCAUUUCCUGCAUCCUAAAUCUUCAUCUUUCUUGGUUUUCUCUAACACUUUGUUGGAGCAUGUUCGCAAUAACAGGAUCGCAACCCUCGGCAUGGCAUUGUCUGCACCACGCUCAGCCAGUGAGCACAACGGCCAUCCCUAUAUAGGAUCCGAACCCGUGGCCUUGGCGCUACCAGCACCGCACUCUCCCGAGCGAGCCACGGUGCCAGCCCAGCAUUUAACUUUUUAAAGCAAGGUUUACUUUGAGCUUGCAA
Long non-coding RNA from Cynocephalus volans (Philippine flying lemur), 371 nucleotides. RefSeq lists it as uncharacterized. The record is from RefSeq and is a predicted model, not a curated record. NCBI's taxonomy places the organism in Eukaryota, Metazoa, Chordata, Mammalia, Dermoptera, Cynocephalidae. The transcript is spliced from 3 exons.